CUACGGGUCGCUGCAGUGGGGAAUAUUGGACAAUGGGCGAAAGCCUGAUCCAGCCAUGCCGCGUGAGUGAUGAAGGCCUUAGGGUUGUAAAGCUCUUUUGUCCGGGAAGAUAAUGACUGUACCGGAAGAAUAAGCCCCGGCUAACUUCGUGCCAGCAGCCGCGGUAAUACGAAGGGGGCUAGCGUUGCUCGGAAUCACUGGGCGUAAAGGGCGCGUAGGCGGCCGAUCAAGUCAGGGGUGAAAGCCUGUGGCUCAACCACAGAAUUGCCUUUGAUACUGUUUGGCUAGAGACCGGAAGAGGUUAGUGGAACUGCGAGUGUAGAGGUGAAAUUCGUAGAUAUUCGCAAGAACACCAGUGGCGAAGGCGGCUAACUGGUCCGGUUCUGACGCUGAGGCGCGAAAGCGUGGGGAGCAAACAGGAUUAGAUACCCUUGUAGUC
RNAcentral lists this ribosomal RNA (439 nucleotides) under uncultured bacterium. Its description in RNAcentral is "partial 16S ribosomal RNA". It matches the Rfam family "Bacterial small subunit ribosomal RNA", at positions 339 to 795 of the family's 1533-position model. The record is from RNAcentral.